This 63-nucleotide microRNA precursor is filed under the name Lottia gigantea (owl limpet). Its description in RNAcentral is "Lgi-Mir-7_pre stem-loop". The record is from RNAcentral. Lineage: Eukaryota; Metazoa; Mollusca; Gastropoda; Lottiidae.
UGGAAGACUAGUGAUUUUGUUGUUUUAAUUUCAGUAUUAACAAUAAAUCACAUUCUUCCCAGA